UAAAGACUUUUCACAGUUGUAGCUUCAUCAUCCUGUUUAUAAUCCUUCACCUAUUACAAUACUAAGUUGGAGGCUUAAAAAAUAGUUCUAAAAAAUGACAAUGCAAGAAAAAUAUUUUUAUUGAUAGAGCAUAGUGAAUAUAUUUUAUAGAAUUUUUCAUUUAUCUAAAAUGUGCAUAUUUAGUUCAUUUAUAAAUUUAUCAACAUUGAGAUUUCCAAGUCAUAUUAAUUUAUACACAUAUUAAAAUACACUUUAUAGGUAAUAAAACUUUUUAAAUUUUAUGAGCAUUAAUAUUAUACAAAAAUAAGUUAUAAUGCAUUAUUUUCUAUAGUUAUUGAGCUGUUGAAGAAUGAAGAAGUAAAGUGAUGGAGAAUAUUCAAAGAUGUCUAAUUCCACGUGUGCUUAAAGGAAUUCAUCUAGGAAAAUAUGGGGUCUUAUGCUUCCAGAAGCAAAAGGGAGCACGGACCCUGAU
RNAcentral lists this long non-coding RNA (472 nucleotides) under Canis lupus familiaris (dog). RNAcentral's name for it is "lncRNA (ENSCAFG00000055313.1)". The record is from RNAcentral. Lineage: Eukaryota; Metazoa; Chordata; Mammalia; Carnivora; Canidae.